This is a long non-coding RNA of Cottoperca gobio, 1301 nucleotides long. RefSeq lists it as uncharacterized. The transcript has 3 exons. Lineage: Eukaryota; Metazoa; Chordata; Actinopteri; Perciformes; Bovichtidae. The record is from RefSeq and is a predicted model, not a curated record.
GAAAACGGUGCGCAUGAGACCUACAGUACAUUUGUGACGCUUUGCAGGAACACCUGUCCAUGCUGUCAGGUGUGUGAGGAUACACACACUGUAUAUAUGGGAGGAAUACAAAGAAGGACUGGGAAAUAAAGACCAGGUCAAGGAACAAGGUGUCAUCUCCCACGUUCUGCUCUGAAGUCUGCAGGCGUCCAAUCAACAGCAUCAUCGUCUGCAGUUCACCAAGACAGCAACUGGACAUCCGGCUGAGCUCGUGUUAUGAGACUAAUUCUAGAAGAAUGACAUGGAUCUCUGAUGAAAGACAUUUCUACUUCUGUUUGUACAGUACUGACUGAUAAUCUAAACAAAGGUUUUUCACUCAUGGCCCAGCAUUUGUGAUAAUAGCUCGCUGCUGUAAUAAUCAAUCCUUUAUUUGAAGAAAUAAGUGACACAUUACCAUUAAUGCAGCUUGUGAAUUUUCCAUUUCCAUUUACCAUUUUCUUCAUGUAGAAAAAUGUUCCCUGCGUGAUGAUGAUCACACAUGUUCUGAUGACAGUGACUCAGACAUGACUGAGACAUGAAGUGACGAAGGCGCUAAGUCAUUAUGUUCUGUCACCAUCUUCUGAAGAAUAUUUCUACAUGUGCUCCUUAUUCAUAUAGCACAGAUGCAUUACAAAUUCACCAUCAUUACAGUGGAAAGAAUAAACGGAUGUAAGAAGCACUUGAGAGUUUUUUUUUAAGGAACUGUCUUACAGUUCAGAGUCAGAAUUAUGCAGAGGCAUAAAUGUUGUAAAAAUAUAAAACUUGUUUAUUAUCUUAGGAGCUCAGCUGUCUCAAUCAAUCAUGUUGAGUUUAAACAUUUGGACUCAAGUCUUCUAGCUGUUUUUAUUUUUCAUUUAUUUUUCUUCCCCAGUCUUUAUAUCUCUAGUACUUCUCGUUUGUAAAUUGUAUUUUCUUUCCUUUUUAGAUAUUUAAAAAAACAUUUUAUGUCUGUUUGUAAAUUGCUGGCAAGCAUUAACAGCUGUCUUUAAUUUUAAUGUUAAGUAGCUUCAUUUUACAAGCCCUCUGGGUUUUUUCAUCCCCCCCUGUGCAUUUCCUUAUGUAAUUUUGUAUUUCUUCUAUUUUGUUUUAUUUUAUUGUAUGUACAAAUUAAGAACUGCACAUCACGAAUGUAAGUCCAUUAAUGGGCCAAUCCAAAUCCAGCCCUAAGCAUUGAACAUUUUGAGAAUUACUUGGUUAUAACUGCUGUAUUGUAGAUGAGCUCCCCAGUUACACUUGUGCAAUUUGGAAGCAAUAAAACUGAGAUGUGCCAAGUUAUUACAGAU